AUACGGAGGAUCCGAGCGUUAUCCGGAUUUAUUGGGUUUAAAGGGUGCGCAGGCGGCCAUUUAAGUCAGCGGUUAAAUCGUGGGGCUCAACCCCAUUCUGCCGUUGAUACUGGGUGGCUUGAUUGCGGUCGAGGUUGGCGGAAUUCGUUGUGUAGCGGUGAAAUGCAUAGAUAUGACGAAGAACACCGAUUGCGUAGGCAGCUGACCAGACCGCAAAUGACGCUCAUGCACGAAAGUGCGGGGAUCGAACAGGAUUAGAUACCCUGGUAGUCCGCACAGUAAACGAUGAAUACUUGUUUUCGGCGAUAUAAUGUCGGAGGCAAAGCGAAAGCGAUAAGUAUCCCACCUGGGGAGUACGCCGGCAACGGUGAAACUCAAAUGAAUUGACGGGG
RNAcentral lists this ribosomal RNA (392 nucleotides) under uncultured bacterium. RNAcentral's name for it is "partial 16S ribosomal RNA". It matches the Rfam family "Bacterial small subunit ribosomal RNA", at positions 523 to 918 of the family's 1533-position model. The record is from RNAcentral.